Molecule: transfer RNA, 73 nt
Filed under: Lucasium damaeum (beaded gecko)
Lineage: Eukaryota; Metazoa; Chordata; Lepidosauria; Squamata; Diplodactylidae
Description: tRNA-Asn
Source: RNAcentral
UAGUUUGAAGCCCGCUGGUUUGGGUUUUUAGUUGUUAACUAACUGUUUACGGGAUCGAGGCCCGUCAAGCUAU